This is a non-coding RNA of Pelobates cultripes (western spadefoot toad), 296 nucleotides long. NCBI's taxonomy places the organism in Eukaryota, Metazoa, Chordata, Amphibia, Anura, Pelobatidae. The record is from the annotation of a GenBank genome assembly.
GGCAUCACCAAUUUCCAGUCUGUGCCUCCUCCUACGUCAAUUCCACUUCCACCUCCCAAAAUUCUGACCAUUGCGGCUGUCACAUUACUGCUCCAAGGGUGUACCACAUCAUUUCCCGUUUCCACCAGAAGAGUUUCGUGUGGCAUUUUGCAGCCGCAUUCUGAUGUUGUUGUUACCUUAAUGGCAUCCAUAUUAACCACCGGAAACAUUACUACAGCUAUAUUGGGCCUCCUGCUGACCUUAAUAGUCCACUUACACUUUACUACACUUUACUAAAUUGCUUACUUCCACCAGAA